UCCCUGGUGGCUCACAUGGUAAAGUAUCUGACUGCAAUGCAGGAGACCUAGGUUCGAUCCCUGGGUUGGGAA
RNAcentral lists this transfer RNA (72 nucleotides) under Bos taurus (domestic cattle). It matches the Rfam family "tRNA". From Rfam's summary of the family: Transfer RNA (tRNA) molecules are approximately 80 nucleotides in length. Their secondary structure includes four short double-helical elements and three loops (D, anti-codon, and T loops). The record is from Rfam by way of RNAcentral. Lineage: Eukaryota; Metazoa; Chordata; Mammalia; Artiodactyla; Bovidae. RNAcentral also lists the same sequence under 4 other names.